This 490-nucleotide ribosomal RNA is filed under the name uncultured bacterium. Its description in RNAcentral is "partial 16S ribosomal RNA". It matches the Rfam family "Bacterial small subunit ribosomal RNA", at positions 30 to 507 of the family's 1533-position model. The record is from RNAcentral.
AUUGAACGCUGGCGGCAUGCCUAACACAUGCAAGUCGAACGGCAGCAUGAUCUGGAUUGCUACAUAGAUGGGGAGAGUCGCACGGGUGAGUAAUAUAUAGGGACGUGUACUUUAUUGGGGGGUAACUAGUCGAAAGAUUAGCUAAUACCGCGCACGACCUCUAGGUGAAAGGGGCGGAGCGCAUGGCCUCUUGCGAUAUGAGCGGCCGAUGUCUGAUUAGCUAGUUGGUGAGGUAAAGGCGCACCAAGGCGACGAUCAGUAGCUGGUCUGAGAGGACGAUCAGCCACACUGGGACUGAGACACGGCCCAGACUCCUACGGGAGGCAGCAGUGGGGAAUUUUGGACAAUGGGCGAAAGCCUGAUCCAGCAAUGCCGCGUGUGUGAAGAAGGCCUUCGGGUUGUAAAGCACUUUUGUCGGGAAAGAAAUGGAUCUGGUUAAUACCUGGGGUAGAUGACGGUACCCGAAGAAUAAGGACCGGCUAACUACGUG